Molecule: ribosomal RNA, 468 nt
Filed under: uncultured bacterium
Lineage: Bacteria
Description: partial 16S ribosomal RNA
Rfam family: Bacterial small subunit ribosomal RNA
Source: RNAcentral
GACGAACGCUGGCGGCGUGCUUAACACAUGCAAGUCGAACGGAAAGGCCCUGCUUUUGUGGGGUGCUCGAGUGGCGAACGGGUGAGUAACACGUGAGUAACCUGCCCUUGACUUUGGGAUAACUUCAGGAAACUGGGGCUACUACAGGAUAGGAGCUCCUGCUGCAUGGUGGGGGUUGGAAAGUUUCGGCGGUUGGGGAUGGACUCGCGGCUUAUCAGCUUGUUGGUGGGGUAGUGGCUUACCAAGGCUUUGACGGGUAGCCGGCCUGAGAGGGUGACCGGCCACAUUGGGACUGAGAUACGGCCCAGACUCCUACGGGAGGCAGCAGUGGGGAAUAUUGCACAAUGGGCGGAAGCCUGAUGCAGCAACGCCGCGUGCGGGAUGACGGCCUUCGGGUUGUAAACCGCUUUCGCCUGUGACGAAGCGUGAGUGACGGUAAUGGGUAAAGAAGCACCGGCUAACUACGUG